GAUGAACGCUGGCGGCGUGCCUAAUACAUGCAAGUCGAGCGAACGGACGAGAAGCUUGCUCCUCUGAUGUUAGCGGCGGACGGGUGAGUAACACGUGGAUAACCUACCUAUAAGACUGGGAUAACUUCGGGAAACCGGAGCUAAUACCGGAUAAUAUUUUGAACCGCAUGGUUCAAAAGUGAAAGACGGUCUUGCUGUCACUUAUAGAUGGAUCCGCGCUGCAUUAGCUAGUUGGUAAGGUAACGGCUUACCAAGGCAACGAUGCAUAGCCGACCUGAGAGGGUGAUCGGCCACACUGGAACUGAGACACGGUCCAGACUCCUACGGGAGGCAGCAGUAGGGAAUCUUCCGCAAUGGGCGCAAGCCUGACGGAGCAACGCCGCGUGAGUGAUGAAGGUCUUCGGAUCGUAAAACUCUGUUAUUAGGGAAGAACAUAUGUGUAAGUAACUGUGCACGUCUUGACGGUACCUAAUCAGAAAGCCACGGCUAACUACGUG
This 497-nucleotide ribosomal RNA is filed under the name uncultured bacterium. RNAcentral's name for it is "partial 16S ribosomal RNA". It matches the Rfam family "Bacterial small subunit ribosomal RNA", at positions 28 to 507 of the family's 1533-position model. The record is from RNAcentral.